Thalassophryne amazonica is the source of this 184-nucleotide long non-coding RNA. RefSeq lists it as uncharacterized. The transcript has 3 exons. The record is from RefSeq and is a predicted model, not a curated record. NCBI's taxonomy places the organism in Eukaryota, Metazoa, Chordata, Actinopteri, Batrachoidiformes, Batrachoididae.
CCCCAUCCAACCUGAUGGAGCUUUUAGAGGUGCUGCAAAGAGGAAUGAGCAAAACUGCCCAAAGAUAGGUGCACCAAGCUUGUGGCAUCAUAUUCAAGAAGACUUGAGGCUGUAAUUGCUGCCAAAGGAGCACCAACAAAGUACUGAGAAAAGGGUAUGAAUAAUUAUGUAGAUGUUAUUUCUU